RNAcentral lists this ribosomal RNA (449 nucleotides) under uncultured bacterium. RNAcentral describes it as "bacterial SSU rRNA". It matches the Rfam family "Bacterial small subunit ribosomal RNA", at positions 335 to 799 of the family's 1533-position model. The record is from RNAcentral.
ACUCCUACGGGAGGCAGCAGUGGGGAAUCUUGGACAAUGGGCGCAAGCCUGAUCCAGCCAUGCCGCGUGAGUGAUGAAGGCCCUAGGGUCGUAAAGCUCUUUCGCCAGGGAUGAUAAUGACAGUACCUGGUAAAGAAACCCCGGCUAACUCCGUGCCAGCAGCCGCGGUAAUACGGAGGGGGUUAGCGUUGUUCGGAAUUACUGGGGCGUAAAGCGCGCGUAGGCGGAUUAGUCAGUUAGAGGUGAAAUCCCGGGGCUCAACCCCGGAACUGCCUUUAAUACUGCUAGUCUUGAGUUCGAGAGAGGUGAGUGGAAUUCCGAGUGUAGAGGUGAAAUUCGUAGAUAUUCGGAGGAACACCAGUGGCGAAGGCGGCUCACUGGCUCGAUACUGACGCUGAGGUGCGAAAGUGUGGGGAGCAAACAGGAUUAGAUACCCUGGUAGGAUAGCG